AUUGAACGCUGGCGGCAGGCCUAACACAUGCAAGUCGAGCGGAUGAAGGGAGCUUGCUCCUGGAUUCAGCGGCGGACGGGUGAGUAAUGCCUAGGAAUCUGCCUGGUAGUGGGGGAUAACGUCCGGAAACGGGCGCUAAUCCCGCAUACGUCCUGAGGGAGAAAGUGGGGGAUCUUCGGACCUCACGCUAUCAGAUGAGCCUAGGUCGGAUUAGCUAGUUGGUGGGGUAAAGGCCUACCAAGGCGACGAUCCGUAACUGGUCUGAGAGGAUGAUCAGUCACACUGGAACUGAGACACGGUCCAGACUCCUACGGGAGGCAGCAGUGGGGAAUAUUGGACAAUGGGCGAAAGCCUGAUCCAGCCAUGCCGCGUGUGUGAAGAAGGUCUUCGGAUUGUAAAGCACUUUAAGUUGGGAGGAAGGGCAGUAAGUUAAUACCUUGCUGUUUUGACGUUACCAACAGAAUAAGCACCGGCUAACUUCGUG
This 484-nucleotide ribosomal RNA is filed under the name uncultured bacterium. RNAcentral describes it as "partial 16S ribosomal RNA". It matches the Rfam family "Bacterial small subunit ribosomal RNA", at positions 30 to 507 of the family's 1533-position model. The record is from RNAcentral.